GGGGGGGGUUUAGUGGUUAGCACGUUUGCCUCGCAACUCAAUGGUCGGGGGUUUGAUUCCCACCUCCGCCC
Non-coding RNA from Ameiurus melas (black bullhead), 71 nucleotides. The record is from the annotation of a GenBank genome assembly. Lineage: Eukaryota; Metazoa; Chordata; Actinopteri; Siluriformes; Ictaluridae.